This 107-nucleotide small nucleolar RNA is filed under the name Gossypium arboreum. Its description in RNAcentral is "Plant small nucleolar RNA R71". It matches the Rfam family "Plant small nucleolar RNA R71". Rfam says of the family: R71 is a member of the C/D box family of snoRNAs containing the C (UGAUGA) and D (CUGA) box motifs. Multiple nearly identical copies of this snoRNA have been identified in Arabidopsis, and it is thought to function as a 2'-O-ribose methylation guide for 18S ribosomal RNA. Lineage: Eukaryota; Viridiplantae; Streptophyta; Magnoliopsida; Malvales; Malvaceae. RNAcentral also lists the same sequence under 1 other name. The record is from Rfam by way of RNAcentral.
AUUCCAUGAUGAGGGCACUACCGUAAUAACUCUUUGUACCUUUCCCAUGCCUCAUACAAGGACUCAUCAUCCAUUUGUUGGAAAGCAGUGAUCUCGUUCCUCAAAUU